RNAcentral lists this ribosomal RNA (481 nucleotides) under uncultured bacterium. Its description in RNAcentral is "bacterial SSU rRNA". It matches the Rfam family "Bacterial small subunit ribosomal RNA", at positions 30 to 506 of the family's 1533-position model. The record is from RNAcentral.
AUUGAACGCUGGCGGAAUGCUUUACACAUGCAAGUCGAGCGGCAGCGCGGGGCAACCUGGCGGCGAGCGGCGAACGGGUGAGUAAUACAUCGGAAUGUGCCCAGACGUGGGGGAUAACUACUCGAAAGAGUGGCUAAUACCGCAUACGAUCUACGGAUGAAAGCGGGGGAUCGCAAGACCUCGCGCGUCUGGAGCGGCUGAUGGCAGAUUAGGUAGUUGGUGGGAUAAAAGCCUACCAAGCCAACGAUCUGUAGCUGGUCUGAGAGGAUGAUCAGCCACACUGGGACUGAGACACGGCCCAGACUCCUACGGGAGGCAGCAGUGGGGAAUUUUGGACAAUGGGCGAAAGCCUGAUCCAGCCAUUCCGCGUGCAGGAUGAAGGCCCUCGGGUUGUAAACUGCUUUUGUACAGAACGAAAAAGCUCUGGCUAAUACCUGGAGUCCAUGACGGUACUGUAAGAAUAAGCACCGGCUAACUACGU